This 492-nucleotide ribosomal RNA is filed under the name uncultured bacterium. RNAcentral's name for it is "partial 16S ribosomal RNA". It matches the Rfam family "Bacterial small subunit ribosomal RNA", at positions 29 to 507 of the family's 1533-position model. The record is from RNAcentral.
AGUGAACGCUGGCGGUAGGCCUAACACAUGCAAGUCGAACGGCAGCACAGUAAGAGCUUGCUCUUACGGGUGGCGAGUGGCGGACGGGUGAGGAACACAUCGGAAUCUACUUUUUCGUGGGGGAUAACGUAGGGAAACUUACGCUAAUACCGCAUACGACCUACGGGUGAAAGCAGGGGAUCUUCGGACCUUGCGCGAUUGAAUGAGCCGAUGUCGGAUUAGCUAGUUGGCGGGGUAAAGGCCCACCAAGGCGACGAUCCGUAGCUGGUCUGAGAGGAUGAUCAGCCACACUGGAACUGAGACACGGUCCAGACUCCUACGGGAGGCAGCAGUGGGGAAUAUUGGACAAUGGGCGCAAGCCUGAUCCAGCCAUACCGCGUGGGUGAAGAAGGCCUUCGGGUUGUAAAGCCCUUUUGUUAGGAAAGAAAAGCAGCAGGUUAAUACCCCGCUGUUCUGACGGUACCCAAAGAAUAAGCACCGGCUAACUUCGUG